AGGUUGCCCUACGGGUUGCUGUGCCUGGCCGUCCUUUUGGGCAAAGGAUGCACACCGACGAGAGGGCAGCACCUAUUGUGUGCUUGCCCUCGCUACGACGUACAACGCCUCUCUUCAGGACAGUUUUAAACUGACUGGCCUCGAGACCAUUCCCUGAUCAAAGGUACUCGGACCGUGGCCACACCCGUCACUGGCACAAAAAAGGCACAGUCAUUGCUCACAGUUCAGGCCGGCAACCACUGGCGAGGAAAUAAAGACAAAUAAUGAUGGGGGAGUGUGUCGUUCAUUUCGGAAAUUGACAACAGGCUUGUACGCCACGCAAUUCAUUAUGCAAUAAAGUAUCCUUGCUUUAGACCACAUGUAAAGGAACCUGUCCAUUAUAUAUAAAGUACAGUCACAAAUACAAGGUUUCAUGUGAUCACCAAUGCUGGUACACUUCAAUGCCGUCCGAACAGCAUCAUGAGGUACAUUGUCGAGCGCUGCUUUAACAUCCAUGAGUACAGCUAGUGGGAAACAGUUGUAUUGUGUUUGACGUAGUUAACAAAGGCAAAGACGUUACUAAUGCUGCUGCGACAUUUUUGCAACUUCACAGCUAUGGAUGAUAAGCGUUCUGGUUUACUAUAUCCCUGUUUCGACGCAGAACAAUCUUCUCCAUUAGUUGACCAAUACAACUGAGGAAGGCACUAUGUCGAUAUGAAUGAAGGCCUGUUGGGUGCUUGACCAGUUUGAAGAUGGCAUUACACGCGCAUGUACAAGUUGAUUCCUAAAUGACCGGCACUUGAUUUGUCAUUGUUAAGCAGCUGAGCCUUAGCUUUUCUAUCGAGGUCACACACAUGGUGCGAUUUUAGCUUUCGGAGCGGUGCUUGUACGGCAGACGAGGUUAGACAGGCAGGCUGGGUCCGCAAUUGUUCCACCAGAGUGUCUCUUUGCGCGGCGUCAUUAUGUGUCACCAUGAGUCCAUCAAUUUAGUC
Molecule: non-coding RNA, 971 nt
Organism: Dermacentor andersoni
Lineage: Eukaryota; Metazoa; Arthropoda; Arachnida; Ixodida; Ixodidae
Source: RefSeq, a predicted model, not a curated record